Non-coding RNA from Oncorhynchus mykiss (rainbow trout), 1029 nucleotides. The record is from the annotation of a RefSeq genome assembly. NCBI's taxonomy places the organism in Eukaryota, Metazoa, Chordata, Actinopteri, Salmoniformes, Salmonidae.
UGAUCAGUGACUGUUCACUCCUUUCAGAUCCACUGACACGCAGCACAAUGAUGAUGUCACUGAUUCUAAUGCUGGGAACACUGGGACUCCUUGUUCAGGAAUCAGCAGCAGAUAUAAUUUUGACUCAGUCUCCUAAAUCUCAGUCUGUUAGUCCAGGAGAGGUUGUCACUAUCAGCUGUACAGCCAGUUCAGGUACUAGUAAUUAUCUCCACUGGUACCUGCAGAAACCUGGAGAAGCUCCUAAACUCCUGGUUUAUGAUGCUACAACCCGUCAGUCUGGGAUUCCAGGUCGUUUCAGUGGGAGUGGAUCUGGUAGUCCUUAUACUCAUUACACUCUGACCAUCAGUGGAGUCCAGGCUGAAGAUGCAGGAGAUUACUACUGUCAGCAGGGUUUGAGCACUCCGUGGACUUUCGGUGGAGGGACCAAACUGAGUGUUGGCAGUGACGUUCGUCCCACCCUGACAGUCCUGUCCCCCUCCAGUGUGGAGCUGCAGCAGGGGAAGGCCACUCUCAUGUGCCUGGCCAACAAGGGCUUCCCCUCAGACUGGAAGCUGAGCUGGAAGGUGGACGGCAGCAGCAGCAACACCUGGGAGGUGACCGGGAGCCCCGGGGUCCUGGAGAAGGACGGCCACUACAGCUGGAGCAGCACCCUGACCCUCCCUGUCGACCAGUGGAAGAAGGUGGGCUCUGUGACCUGUGAGGUCACCCAGGGCUCCCAGUCUCCGCUCUCUGAGACACUGAGGAGAGACCAGUGUUCUGAUUAAUGAGCUCCCCCCUCUGACUCCACUGUUUUUACUCUGCACCUCUCCUUCUUACUGUUCCAGCAAUACCAGCACACUGAUCUAAUGCUGGGCUGGAUCCUUUGUGGGAAUCCUUCCUCCAGCAGGAGCUUUUAUCAUAGUAGAACAAAGAACAGAACACAUGUCUGAAUAGAUCUGCUUGGCUUUCAUAUCAUGUGUUCUGAACCUUAUUACUAUAAUGCUGUUGUUUCUGACAUGUUGAGACAAUAAAGACGUUCAAAAUGUUAAA